RNAcentral lists this ribosomal RNA (1017 nucleotides) under uncultured organism. RNAcentral describes it as "bacterial SSU rRNA". It matches the Rfam family "Bacterial small subunit ribosomal RNA", at positions 356 to 1376 of the family's 1533-position model. The record is from RNAcentral.
GAGGAAUAUUGGUCAAUGGACGAGAGUCUGAACCAGCCAAGUAGCGUGAAGGAUGACUGCCCUAUGGGUUGUAAACUUCUUUUAUACGGGAAUAAAGUUAGCCACGUGUGGCUUUUUGUAUGUACCGUAUGAAUAAGGAUCGGCUAACUCCGUGCCAGCAGCCGCGGUAAUACGGAGGAUCCGAGCGUUAUCCGGAUUUAUUGGGUUUAAAGGGAGCGUAGGCGGGUUGUUAAGUCAGUUGUGAAAGUUUGCGGCUCAACCGUAAAAUUGCAGUUGAUACUGGCGACCUUGAGUGCAACAGAGGUAGGCGGAAUUCGUGGUGUAGCGGUGAAAUGCUUAGAUAUCACGAAGAACUCCGAUUGCGAAGGCAGCUUACUGGAUUGUAACUGACGCUGAUGCUCGAAAGUGUGGGUAUCAAACAGGAUUAGAUACCCUGGUAGUCCACACAGUAAACGAUGAAUACUCGCUGUUGGCGAUAUACGGUCAGCGGCCAAGCGAAAGCAUUAAGUAUUCCACCUGGGGAGUACGCCGGCAACGGUGAAACUCAAAGGAAUUGACGGGGGCCCGCACAAGCGGAGGAACAUGUGGUUUAAUUCGAUGAUACGCGAGGAACCUUACCCGGGCUUAAAUUGCAACUGACUGGACCGGAAACGGUUCUUUCUUCGGACAGUUGUGAAGGUGCUGCAUGGUUGUCGUCAGCUCGUGCCGUGAGGUGUCGGCUUAAGUGCCAUAACGAGCGCAACCCUUAUCGAUAGUUACUAGCAGGUCAUGCUGAGGACUCUAUUGAGACUGCCGUCGUAAGAUGUGAGGAAGGUGGGGAUGACGUCAAAUCAGCACGGCCCUUACGUCCGGGGCUACACACGUGUUACAAUGGGGGGUACAGAAGGCAGCUACACGGCGACGUGGUGCUAAUCCCGAAAGCCUCUCUCAGUUCGGAUUGGAGUCUGCAACCCGACUCCAUGAAGCUGGAUUCGCUAGUAAUCGCGCAUCAGCCACGGCGCGGUGAAUACGUUCCCG